Molecule: long non-coding RNA, 445 nt
Filed under: Homo sapiens (human)
Lineage: Eukaryota; Metazoa; Chordata; Mammalia; Primates; Hominidae
Description: non-protein coding lnc-RPA3-2:2
Source: RNAcentral
CCUGCCCCUCCUACAGCUGAAGCCAAAGUGAAGGCUUCGAAGGCCAAGAAGGCAGUGUUGAAAGGUGUCCACAACCACAAAAAAAGAAAAAGAAAAAAAGAAAGAUCUGCCCGUCACCCACCUUCCAGCAGCCCAAGACACUGCGACUCCGGAGGCAGCCCAGAUAUCCUCGGAAGAGCGCCCCCAGGAGAAACAAGCUUAACCACUACACUAUCAAAUUUCCGCUGACCACUGAGUCGGCCAUGAAGAAGACAGAAGACAACAGCACGCUUGUGUUCACUGUGGAUGUUAAAGCCAACAAGCACCAGAUCAAACAGGCUGUGAAGAAGCUCUGUGACAUCGAUGUGGCCAAGGUCAACACCUGAUUCGGCCUGAUGGAGAGAAGGCAUAUAUUCAACUGCCUCCUGAUUACGAUGCUUUGGAUGUUGCCAAACUUUCAUCAUAU